AUACGGAGGGUGCAAGCGUUACUCGGAAUCACUGGGCGUAAAGCGCGCGCAGGCGGCUUGAUAAGUUGGAUGUGAAAGCCUACGGCUCAACCGUAGAACUGCAUCCAAAACUGUCAAGCUAGAGUCUGGGAGGGGAAGAUGGAAUUAGUUGUGUAGGGGUAAAAUCCGUAGAGAUAACUAGGAAUACCAAAAGCGAAGGCGAUCUUCUGGAACAGUACUGACGCUGAGGCGCGAAAGCGUGGGUAGCAAACAGGAUUAGAAACCCGAGUAGUCC
This 274-nucleotide ribosomal RNA is filed under the name uncultured bacterium. RNAcentral's name for it is "partial 16S ribosomal RNA". It matches the Rfam family "Bacterial small subunit ribosomal RNA", at positions 523 to 796 of the family's 1533-position model. The record is from RNAcentral.